CAGUCGCCGCGGUAAAACGUAGGGUGCAAGCGUUAAUCGGAAUUACUGGGCGUAAAGCGUGCGCAGGCGGUUUGUUAAGACAGAUGUGAAAUCCCCGGGCUCAACCUGGGAACUGCAUUUGUGACUGGCAGGCUAGAGUAUGGCAGAGGGGGGUGGAAUUCCGCGUAGCAGUGAAAUGCGUAGAUAUGCGGAGGAACACCGAUGGCGAAGGCAGCCCCCUGGGCCAAUACUGACGCUCAUGCACGAAAGCGUGGGGAGCAAACAGGAUUAGAGACCCCCGUAGUCCCUGUCUCUUAUACAC
RNAcentral lists this ribosomal RNA (301 nucleotides) under uncultured bacterium. RNAcentral's name for it is "partial 16S ribosomal RNA". It matches the Rfam family "Bacterial small subunit ribosomal RNA", at positions 509 to 809 of the family's 1533-position model. The record is from RNAcentral.